GACCGCAGCCCCGUCGGGGCCCGGGGGUCCCCUGGCGUCUUCCGCAUCCGCGCCGUCGCCAAAUGGUGGGCCGGCCUCUCCCGCAGGCUCCUGCGCACGUGGUCCGGGGCCCGCGGUGCACAGAGACCCACGCGCUCCAAAGGCGCCGUUGCUUUCAGGGGGCAGGGAGCCCGCUGCUGGCCUUGUACGCCUGUCCCCGCCCGUGUGCCACUCCCCGAGCAGAAACCUGAGAAACUGCACGCACGUGCACGUCCAGGAGGAAGAGCGAUUUCCUUUCGUCUGAUGGCGAAGUGCAGGCCUCCCGGUUGAAACGCGUCCUUAGAAGAGCGUCCGUGUGCCCGUUCCUGCCUCUGCCCCGUCCUCGCCGAUCAAGUGACAGUGACACGCGCCUUCUUCACUGAAAACCACGAGGCUCGAGGGUCCUGCUUCCCCCACGUUUGAAGCCGACUCUGUCCCAUACCCCCGAGCAGUGGUGCCAGCCGUGCCACGACAGGCCUCUGAAGGUCGGUCCCGUCUGGAGGAGCCCUCAGGAACAGAUGCAGACUGAGAGCGGCCUCCUCUGGCGAAGGCCGCGCGCCUGACGCUGUCAGCAGCAGGCCUCCUCGCCUUCUCUAGACGUCCCUGCUGGAGAAUAAACACACCUGUACGGGCCUAACAGAGGGGACACCUGAGACUCCAGGUGUGGCCCCCCUCCUCCUCACACCCAGAGCUGUUCCCGGGGGGCAGGGGGACCCAGGCUGUGCUGCGUCUGCGGACCUCGGGGCCCAGGUCCCGGCACGGACGCCGCUUCUGUGAGGAAGCUUCUCGGGAGGUGCCGUGGGUCCGCGUGCUUGUGGGGGUGUGUGUGUGUUUCCUUUCUGAAUAGACUUCUCAAUUUUCCUCGCAUUUAUAUAACUGACCUUUUUACUAACAAGAUACAGUGAUAAAUUUUGAAGACUAUGCUUAGUAUGCGUUUCGUGGGCCGCCUCAGCAAACGUUGUCGGGCCUCUGUGCUAAACAGAGUUGUUUGUACAUACAGCAGUUGUGAACAGUUGGGUUGCUUUUUUUGUUUUUUUUUUUUUUAAUAGAAUUACUUUGAGGAAGUUAAGAGAAUCAGUUGCUCAUGUUAUAUUUCCAGUGAGGACUCACCUCCAGUGCAGAAGCACCCAGAGGGCCCCCAUCUCCCCCCAUCCCCCCAUCUCCCCCCAUCUCCCCCCGUUGUCCAGACACAGGGACAAAGGGCUGGACGUGCUGUCGGCAGCCCUGGUCUGUCUCUCGGCCGGGCCCUGACUCCUGGCUCCCCUUUCCUCCCCUCAAGCUUCCCAACAGAGGAGCAGGAAGCACGGACACCAGGGCACGUGGUGACAGUCCCUUGGUCAGAUGUCCAUCCUAGGUGGCUCCUGCUUGAAUUUCCAGCAUCCGCAGUGUUUGACUUACCUACUUCGCAAGGCUUUGGGUGACCUGUUCCUUCAAUUCUAACUCACCGGCAUCGAGGUGAUGCUAUCUGUAUAGGUCAAGUGACAGCUUCCAGACAGAUGAAGUGGCUGUUGACAGCUGAAUUGUGUUGUACAAGAUCACUGUAACUUGAUAUGUAUUCUCUCUGAAGUUUUUGUAAAAAAAAAAAAAAAAAAAAUUUACAAUGUUAUUUGAAUGAUUUCUUGUAAAUGCUGUGAAUCUAUAUUUGUUGUUUUGUAUCUGUAUAUUAAAGUUA
Physeter macrocephalus (sperm whale) is the source of this 1690-nucleotide long non-coding RNA. RefSeq lists it as uncharacterized. The transcript is spliced from 3 exons. The record is from RefSeq and is a predicted model, not a curated record. Lineage: Eukaryota; Metazoa; Chordata; Mammalia; Artiodactyla; Physeteridae.